This is a long non-coding RNA of Ctenopharyngodon idella (grass carp), 3837 nucleotides long. RefSeq lists it as uncharacterized. NCBI's taxonomy places the organism in Eukaryota, Metazoa, Chordata, Actinopteri, Cypriniformes, Xenocyprididae. The record is from RefSeq and is a predicted model, not a curated record. The transcript is spliced from 4 exons.
AAUCGCCCCCUAUACCCUUAAAUAGGGCAAUAUUUGAGGGACAGCCAUUUGUAGUGGUGUCCGAAACCAUAGUGGACGUUAUUGAGUGCACUCAUUCAAUCAACUGAUGUACGCUCAAUGGCUAGAGAAUACCCAUAAUACACAGUGAGAGUCGCACGUCGAAUGAAUUCCCACGUCUGACCAGAAGAUGGCGCCUGCAGUUUUUCCAAACGGCUGAUCCAAUGUGGCUACAGCGUAUUAUUAUACAGCCUGUCACUCAAACUCCUGGCGAAGGGUGAACUGAGAAUGGAAGGCGCCGAGACUGACAAUAGCUCCUCUGUGGGACUCGAGACUGGUGCGUGGCGCAGGUGUUCCUCAUUAACAUUCGCUUCAGCGGCCUCGCUCUGCUCCCACGGCUCUCGGCCCCACCCUGCUUCACACCACAGAGGACAUGACGUAAUGACGCAAAGACGAACGACGGUAUGUUUAAAUUUCAAAUUAGAAUACAUUAUUACAAGUUUAUCGUUGUGAAUUGGGCUAUGGUAAGGAGAUAGUUUUGAACACUGGCUGGUUAUGUAUUUGCUCAAAAAUUUAUUUUGGAUUAUUUUUAACCAAAAAAAAGUUACGGACUUCAGCUUUAAUGAGAUUAGCCUCAUUAAUAACUAUUAACUAACUGACAAAUUAUAAAGAAGUGUCUUAUAAAGUGUGUCUGAGACGUAAUCAGUCAUCAUUUUUACUCUGAAUAUAGUCAUAAAAUGCAUCAGUAAUUACUCAAGUGUUACCCAGUGACUCUGCAGGAACUACUAGUGAUCUGGACCAUUAUUUUAAAGUGAAAACACUUACUUCACAAGUACACAAGUACUUCCUGCAGAGUCACUACACUUGAGUAAUUAGUGAUGCAUUUUAUGACCAUGUUGAGAGUAAAAAAAGACAAUUUCUCACAUCUCAGACAUGUUGUGAUUAGAAAUUAUUUAGAAAUUCUUUAUUCAUAGUUACCUAUUAGUUCUUAAUGAUGCCAAUCUAAUUCAGUAAUUGAUUACCUAAUAAGAAAAUAUCUUAGUCCUAAAUUUGAUAUUACUUACUGAUUAGUUAAGCUUGUUUCUAUAUUAGUUAAAAGGUUAGUUCACCCAAAAAUGAAAAUUCUGUCAUUUAUUACUCGCCCUCAUGCCGUUCCACACCCAUAAGAUCUUCGUUAAUCUUCGGAACACAAAUUAAGAUAUUUUUGUUGAAAUCCGAUGGCUCAGUGAGGCCUCCAUAGCCAGCAAUGACAUUUCUUCUCUCAAAAUCCAUUAAUGUACUAAAAACAUAUUUAAAUCAGUUCAUGUGAGUACAGUGGUUCAAUAUUAAUAUUAUAAAGCGACGAGAAUAUUUUUGGUGCGCCAAAAAACAAAAUAACGACUUAUAUAGUGAUGGACGAUUUCAAAACACUGCUUUAUGAAACUUCGGAGCGUUAUGAAUCAGCGUGUCGAAUCCGCAGUUCAGAGCGCCAAAGUCACGUGAUUUCAGCAGUUUGGCGGUUUGACACGCGAUCCGAAUCAUGAUUCGACACACUGAUUCAUAAUGCUCCGAAGCAUAUCUGCUUACAUUUCUCUCUGAGCAUCUGUAAUCAACAUGCCUGAGAUUACAGACUUGCUCUAUUCCUUUAUUAUAUCAAUGAAAAGCAUGUCACAGCUUUGAGUGUUUGUCUCUUCUACUUAUUAGCCAUCUCUCUUACCUUGUUUGCUUUUCUCUCUGUGCACAUCUGUUUUAAAUAACCUGGUGCCCAAGGUCCAGAAAGACAUUUUUAAGUCUUAAAAAGACAGAUGCCUCUUCCUUCUUUUGUGAGAUCAUGCGAUGCUGCUCCAUUGCUGCUCCAAAUAAACUGUAAAAGAAAAGAAACGGCAACAUUUUCAUCAGUAAUUCAGUUGACGAGAUCAACACCAAGCACAGGUGGAGCUAAAUCAGAUGCCCUGAAGUCAUUUUCAGUUUUCGACUUGACACACUUCGAGACAACAGGUGCAGUAGGCCAUAGAUGAAGACAACGGCUGUCACUUUAAACAUGCGCUGACAGCAUCACGUUAAAUCACACAUGAUGUUGAAACACUUUGAGCUCACGCAACUGUCAAUUUAGGUAUGUUUGUCAUAUUGACGAAAGGAAUGGUACGCCGAGAGUGGCGUGUGCUUGCUAACAUCGUUGUUAGUGUUGCUGAUGAUAUUCAGGCAAAGCUUUCUUCUCUCUGCUUGACUGGCAAGACAUGAGGUUUGAACAAUGAGGAGGAUGUACAAUGAGAAAAAGAGAAAAGUGUCUUAUCAAAACUCCAGGCUGGCGAAAACUGCUUACUCUGACUUCUGGUAAAAUUAUGCCAUUAUUGAUGCUUUAAUCUUUGCACCUCUUUUAAUGGAAUUUUAAAUGCAAAUCCUGUCAUUAUUUACUCAUCCAUUUGCUGUUAUUUGUUCUGUGAAACAUGAAACAUGAAAGUGUUUUUAUUUAUAUAUUUUUAAUAAUCUACACCUACCUGUGGCAGAUAAACAUUAAUAGCAUGUAUUAUAAAGAAAAAAAAUAACUUUUUUGUUCUUUUCUAUUUCAGUAUAUUUUAAAAUGUCAUUUACUCCUAUGAUGCAAAGCUGAAUUUUCAGCAUCAUUACUCCAGUUUUCAGUGGCACAUGAUCCAUCAGAAAUCAUUCUAAUAUGCUGAUUCAAGAAACGACUCUGUCACAGCUUUCAUUGGCCAAGGACCACCCAAGAGGAAGUCUGACUGACAUGUAAAUCAACAAAUCACAGUUUGUUUUGUUCAGUGUCAUGUUCAGGGGCAUGAAAAUGUAAAGUAAAAAAAAGUACUUGAAAAUCAGACAAAAAGACAAAGGUAGAAGACUGUGUACUUAACGGCUUAGUGAUAGAAAGAACUAUUACUAAAAUUAUGGAGAAAUAUAAAGUUACUCAUUUAAAAAUAUUGAUUAUAUAUGUAUGUAUGUGUGUGUGUGUGUGUGUGUGUGUGUAUAUAUAUAUAUAUAUAUAUAUAGUUUAUUGCAAAAUAUGCAUAUAUAUUCAAAUAGUAUUUUGAAAGCAUAGGGACACUCGAUUAUGUCAUUUGCUGUGUUUCAUGGGAAUGGGAGGAGCUAACGGGAUCUUUUUGCUUGUUUCGACUUUCUGAUUGGUGGAAUUUUCUACAGCAUCGUGGGUAAUGUAGUUUUCACCAUACAUUCUGCUGUUGAACACUAUUAUUUUAAAUUUGAAAUAAUGUGGGCUAACGGAUUCAACAGAAGCAAAUUGUCAGGUUUAUGUUCAGUUUUGUAUUUAUAAGUUGACCCAGUUUCCUAGUGUGUUUCAGUUUUUUCCCUUUGAUUGAUGAAUUCCGUUCACCUGUUGCCCAUUAAUUAUCUCAUUAGUUCAUCCGUGUAUUUAUACUCCCUGUUUGGUACUGGUUCUGUCUGGUGUCAUCUAUGUGAAGUGUAUGCGUUUGCCUGCUCUCCUUGUGUUUCUCUUACGUGGAUAUAUUAAAAGACUGUAUUAUAAUCUCAUUUGUCAAGAGCUCUUUAUAUCAACCACACCUGACACAAGUACUAUUGAUUAACAACCUCAUACCUCACUGCAAGUAUAAACCUUUUUAAAAAAUUUGAAAAGAAAAUUGUUAAAAACCAGUUUCCCUCUGGAGAAACUCAAUGGAGUUUUACUUCUGGAACCCGCCUGUUGCACUCUAUUAUCAAUGUUGAAAACAGUUGUGCUGCUUUAUAUUUUUGUGAAAAACCAUGAUACAUUUUUUUUCCCCCUCAGGAUUCUUUAAUGAAUAGAGAUUUUAAAAGAAAAGCAUAUAUUUGAAAUGUAUAUCAGAAAUGUCUAUUGACACUUUUGAUCAAUUUAAUACAUCCUUACUCAAUAAA